Molecule: ribosomal RNA, 497 nt
Filed under: uncultured bacterium
Lineage: Bacteria
Description: partial 16S ribosomal RNA
Rfam family: Bacterial small subunit ribosomal RNA
Source: RNAcentral
GAUGAACGCUGGCGGCGUGCCUAAUACAUGCAAGUCGAGCGAACGGACGAGAAGCUUGCUUCUCUGAUGUUAGCGGCGGACGGGUGAGUAACACGUGGAUAACCUACCUAUAAGACUGGGAUAACUUCGGGAAACCGGAGCUAAUACCGGAUAAUAUUUUGAACCGCAUGGUUCAAAAGUGAAAGACGGUCUUGCUGUCACUUAUAGAUGGAUCCGCGCUGCAUUAGCUAGUUGUUAAGGUAACGGCUUACCAAGGCAACUAGGCAUAGCCGACCUGAGGGAGUGGUAGGCGACCCUGGAACGGAGACAGGCUCCAGGCUACUGAGAGACGCAGCAGUAGGCAAUCGUCCGCAGAGGGCGAGAGCCUGACGGAGCAGCGGCGAGUGAGUGAUGAAGGUCUUCGGAUCGUAAAGCUCUGUUAUUAGGGAAGAACAGAUGUGUAAGUAAAUGUGCACAGCUUGACGGUACCUAAUAAGAAAGCCACGGCUAACUACGUG